GAGAUUAUCAGGGCGGAAUGUGCAUCCAAAGCCGUUGUAAGCCAACAACGGUGUCCGACCUGGAAGCGAGAGCGGAAGGGUGGGCGAAGACCGGCCAGGUCCCGAAAGGACUCUGGCUGCAACAUGGCAAACUCGAUUUGAAUAUCGUGUUACGCUCGAAAAGGGUGUAAUACAACGAGUUCAAUUGAAGAGUUUGAUCAUGGCUCAGAAUGAACGCUGGCGGCAUGGCUAAAAACAUGCAAGUCGAACGAACCCGCAAGGGUGAGUGGCGAAAGGGUCAGUAAUACGAUCGAAUGUACCCUGAGGUGGCGGAUAGCGGUGGGAAACUGCCGGUAAUACGUCAUGAUCUCUACGGAGCAAAGGUUUACCGCCUUGGGAGCAGCGAUCGUCCUAUCAGGUAGUUGGCGGGGUAAAGGCCCACCAAGCCGAAGACGGGUAGCGGGUGUGAGAGCACGACCCGCGACAUCGGAACUGAGACACUGUCCGGACUCCUACGGGAGGCUGCAGUAACGAAUCUUCCGCAAUGG
RNAcentral lists this ribosomal RNA (527 nucleotides) under uncultured bacterium. RNAcentral's name for it is "bacterial SSU rRNA". The stretch from base 182 to 527 matches the Rfam family "Bacterial small subunit ribosomal RNA", at positions 1 to 374 of the family's 1533-position model. The record is from RNAcentral.